GUGGGGAAUCUUGCGCAAUGGGCGAAAGCCUGACGCAGCCAUGCCGCGUGAAUGAUGAAGGUCUUAGGAUUGUAAAAUUCUUUCACCGGGGACGAUAAUGACGGUACCCGGAGAAGAAGCUCCGGCUAACUUCGUGCCAGCAGCCGCGGUAAUACGAAGGGGGCUAGCGUUGCUCGGAAUUACUGGGCGUAAAGGGCGCGUAGGCGGACAGCUUAGUCAGAGGUGAAAGCCCAGGGCUCAACCUUGGAAUUGCCUUUGAUACUGGCUGUCUUGAGUUUGGGAGAGGUGAGUCGAACUCCGAGUGUAGAGGUGAAAUUCGUAGAUAUUCGGAAGAACACCAGUGGCGAAGGCGACUCACUGGCCCAAUACUGACGCUGAGGCGCGAAAGCGUGGGGAGCAAACAGGAUUAGAAACCCCGGUAGUCC
Molecule: ribosomal RNA, 425 nt
Filed under: uncultured bacterium
Lineage: Bacteria
Description: partial 16S ribosomal RNA
Rfam family: Bacterial small subunit ribosomal RNA
Source: RNAcentral